RNAcentral lists this ribosomal RNA (116 nucleotides) under Peribacillus simplex. Lineage: Bacteria; Bacillati; Bacillota; Bacilli; Caryophanales; Bacillaceae. RNAcentral also lists the same sequence under 1 other name. The record is from RNAcentral.
UUUGGUGGCGAUAGCGAAGAGGUCACACCCGUUUCCAUUCCGAACACGGCAGUUAAGCUCUUCAGCGCCGAUGGUAGUUGGGGGUUUCCCCCUGUGAGAGUAGGACGCCGCCAAGC